This is a long non-coding RNA of Xenopus tropicalis (tropical clawed frog), 915 nucleotides long. RefSeq lists it as uncharacterized. The transcript is spliced from 3 exons. Lineage: Eukaryota; Metazoa; Chordata; Amphibia; Anura; Pipidae. The record is from RefSeq and is a predicted model, not a curated record.
GUCUUUUCAGUGAUGAUUCAGCCCUGAAGCAAUACCUCUUGUUUAAAGGAGAAGGAAAGGAAGAAUCACAGAGGGGCACUCACAGGAAAAGUACCCUGGAUUCCAAGUGCAUUUUUUGAGCAGUCCAGGAUAGUAGAACCAAAAGAGUUGGGUGUGCACAUGCACCAAGAUGACCUGGUGGGGAGGAUCCUGGAAAGAAGUUUGAGGAUGCAGACCCCUGCUCUGCCUUACUUACCCUAGGCCAGAGUAUGAGGUAAGUAAUAAAAUGGAAGAAUGACUUCAAUGAGGUAAAUUUAAAGUCACUGGGGGUGCCUAACAAACUGGCAUCCUGCAGCUUUCUAUUUAUUUUAUAAUGGAUCCAUGGGGUGGUGAAAUAUUAUGAAUAAGCAUACAGUAUGCUAGAUUUCAUUCCUUGAGCGAGAGUUUCAGCCUCUCACUUGGUGUUAAAUGGGUAGUUCAUGACUAAAUUAACUUUUAGUAUAAAGCAAACAAUGUUACUCUGAGACAAUGUGUAAUUGGUUUUCAUUUUUUAUUAUUUGUGGUUCAUCAGUUAUUUAGCUUUUUGUUCAGCAGUUCUCCUCUAAGAGGGACACACAGACCAUCACAAGAUGCUGGCUCAAGGUAAAAGAUGUAAAAGGGCAUGCGCAGGGCAAAGCCAAACUUUUAACAAGAAAGUUGCCAUUUUCACCCUACUGCGCAUGCCACGGCCCCAAGAUUUGAAAGAACAAAGACAGAGAAGAGGAUUGCUGUCUCGCAGCUAGACCGGGCUGGUGCUGUUUUCUCCUAACAGGACCACCUACCGGGGUAUAAGGUACAGCUGAUUGCACAAGGACCUUCUACUAUCAUGAGUUCAAGUUUACAUUCACUGUGAAAUUAUGUGAAAUUGUACAGCAAAGCCAACCACUGACUUCUACC